UGCAGUCGAACGGCAGCACGGGGGCAACCCUGGUGGCGAGUGGCGAACGGGUGAGUAAUAUAUCGGAACGUACCCGGCAAUGGGGGAUAACGUAGCGAAAGUUACGCUAAUACCGCAUAUGCCCUGAGGGGGAAAGUGGGGGAUCGCAAGACCUCACGUUGUCGGAGCGGCCGAUAUCAGAUUAGCUAGUUGGUGGGGUAAAGGCCUACCAAGGCGACGAUCUGUAGCUGGUCUGAGAGGACGACCAGCCACACUGGGACUGAGACACGGCCCAGACUCCUACGGGAGGCAGCAGUGGGGAAUUUUGGACAAUGGGGGCAACCCUGAUCCAGCCAUGCCGCGUGAGUGAAGAAGGCCUUCGGGUUGUAAAGCUCUUUCGGACGGAAAGAAAUCGCCAUUCCUAAUACGAGUGGUGGAUGACGGUACCGUCAUAAGAAGCACCGGCUAACUACGUGCCAGCAGCCGCGGUAAUACGUAGGGUGCGAGCGUUAAUCGGAAUUACUGGGCGUAAAGCGUGCGCGGGCGGUUUUGUAAGACAGGCGUGAAAUCCCCGGGCUUAACCUGGGAACUGCGUUUGUGACUGCAAGGCUAGAGUGCGGCAGAGGGGGGUAGAAUUCC
Molecule: ribosomal RNA, 618 nt
Filed under: uncultured bacterium
Lineage: Bacteria
Description: bacterial SSU rRNA
Rfam family: Bacterial small subunit ribosomal RNA
Source: RNAcentral